AUAUCAAUAAGCGGAGGAAAAGAAACCAACAGGGAUUGCCUUAGUAACGGCGAGUGAAGCGGCAACAGCUCAAAUUUGAAAUCUGGCGCCUUUGGCGUCCGAGUUGUAAUUUGCAGAGGAUGCUUCGGCGUUGGCGCCGCCCAAAGUUCCUUGGAACGGGACGUCGCAGAGGGUGAGAGCCCCGUGUUCGGGCGGAUGCCUUCGCCGUGUGAAGCUCCUUCGACGAGUCGAGUUGUUUGGGAAUGCAGCUCAAAACGGGAGGUAAAUUUCUUCCAAAGCUAAAUACCGGCCGGAGACCGAUAGUGCACAAGUAGAGUGAUCGAAAGAUGAAAAGCACUUUGGAAAGAGAGUCAAACAGCGCGUGAAAUUGUUGAAAGGGAAGCGCUUGCGGUCAGAACUUGGCCGUCGUUGCUCGGGGAGGUCUCGCGCCUCCCUCGCUCUUCGGCGGCUGGGCCAGCAUCGGUUCGGGCGGCUCGAGAAAGGUCGCGGGAACGUAGCUCCCUCCGGGGAGUGUUAUAGCCCGCGGCGCAAUAGGGCCUGCCUGGACCGAGGUCUGCGCAUCUGCUCGGAUGCUGGCGUAAUGGCCCCAAGCGGCCCGUCUUGAAACACGGACCAAGGAGUCUAACAUUCGUGCGAGUGUUCGGGUGUCAAACCCGUGCGCGCAAUGAAAGUGAACGUAGGUGGGAACCCCUCGCGGGCGCACCAUCGACCGAUCCUGAUGUCUUCGGAUGGAUUUGAGUAUGAGCACGUAUGUUGGGACCCGAAAGAUGGUGAACUAUGCCUAAGCAGGGCGAAGCCAGAGGAAACUCUGGUGGAGGCUCGCAGCGGUUCUGACGUGCAAAUCGAUCGUCAAAUUUGGGUAUAGGGGCGAAAGAC
This 876-nucleotide ribosomal RNA is filed under the name Muyocopron alcornii. RNAcentral's name for it is "partial 28S ribosomal RNA". It matches the Rfam family "Eukaryotic large subunit ribosomal RNA", at positions 40 to 931 of the family's 3401-position model. Lineage: Eukaryota; Fungi; Ascomycota; Dothideomycetes; Muyocopronales; Muyocopronaceae. The record is from RNAcentral.